Long non-coding RNA from Pyrus x bretschneideri (Chinese white pear), 500 nucleotides. RefSeq lists it as uncharacterized. The record is from RefSeq and is a predicted model, not a curated record. The transcript is spliced from 4 exons. Lineage: Eukaryota; Viridiplantae; Streptophyta; Magnoliopsida; Rosales; Rosaceae.
GGAUCAUUUUCCGAACAGAACACCCUUUUCUCUGUAUCUCUUUCCUCUAUGUAACUUUCUGCCAUCAACUGAGCCAGGGUUUCCGAGUUGCCGUGGCUCGACUCACCGAGCCAGGUGGAUCUUCACUCCCGGAGAACUGGCUGGUAAAUACAAGGCUGCUAAUCAAGGAGCAAUGCAAACAUUGGAGAAGUAUGGAGCAACACUAAUGGAAGUAGACGUUGAUGGAACAUUGUCAUACCCUAAACCCCAAGUUAAUGCCGAUUCCCAUCCAAAACCCAUUAGCGUUGAAGAGGAGCAAUUUAUGCGAGUAUUUUAUGAGAAUAAACUUCAAGAAGUUUGUACCAACUUUCACUUUCAGCAUACAGUUCAGGCAUGUGGUCUCCCCUGUUGACAGAAGAAAAAAUAGUAAUACUAAUUUAGGAAGCAUGAAACUAGAAGAAUUUAUCAAUUUUAGCAUUAUCCAUGUCUAAUUGGUUUCAUCAGCAGGCAACGGCUCUCAU